This 253-nucleotide ribosomal RNA is filed under the name uncultured bacterium. RNAcentral describes it as "partial 16S ribosomal RNA". It matches the Rfam family "Bacterial small subunit ribosomal RNA", at positions 524 to 776 of the family's 1533-position model. The record is from RNAcentral.
AACGUAGGAGCCAAGCGUUAUCCGAAUUCACUGGGCGUAAAGCGUGUGCAGGCGGGCUCGUAAGUUGGAUGUGAAAUCUCCUGGCUCAACUGGGAGAGGCCGUUCAAUACUGUGAGCCUCGAGGGCAACAGAGGGAGGUGGAAUUCCCGGUGUAGUGGUGAAAUGCGUAGAUAUCGGGAGGAACACCAGUGGCGAAAGCGGCCUCCUGGGUUGCACCUGACGCUCAGACACGAAAGCUAGGGGAGCGAACGGG